GGGGUUGUGGCUCAGUGGUAGAGCACUUUCCUAGCAUGCAUGAAGCUCUGGGUUUGAUCCCCAGCACCACUU
RNAcentral lists this transfer RNA (72 nucleotides) under Marmota marmota marmota (Alpine marmot). It matches the Rfam family "tRNA". From Rfam's summary of the family: Transfer RNA (tRNA) molecules are approximately 80 nucleotides in length. Their secondary structure includes four short double-helical elements and three loops (D, anti-codon, and T loops). Lineage: Eukaryota; Metazoa; Chordata; Mammalia; Rodentia; Sciuridae. The record is from Rfam by way of RNAcentral. RNAcentral also lists the same sequence under 1 other name.